UACAGAGGGUGCAAGCGUUGUUCGGAAUUACUGGGCGUAAAGAGCUCGUAGGUGGUUUGUCGCGUUGUCCGUGAAAACUCACAACUCAAUUGUGGGCGUGCGGGCGAUACGGGCGGACUGGAGUACUGCAGGGGAGACUGGAAUUCCUGGUGUAGCGGUGGAAUGCGCAGAUAUCAGGAGGAACACCGGUGGCGAAGGCGGGUCUCUGGGCAGUAACUGACGCUGAGGAGCGAAAGCGUGGGGAGCGAACAGG
RNAcentral lists this ribosomal RNA (253 nucleotides) under uncultured bacterium. RNAcentral's name for it is "partial 16S ribosomal RNA". It matches the Rfam family "Bacterial small subunit ribosomal RNA", at positions 524 to 776 of the family's 1533-position model. The record is from RNAcentral.